UACGGAGGGUGCAAGCGUUAAUCGGAAUUACUGGGCGUAAAGCGCACGCAGGCGGUUGGAUAAGUUAGAUGUGAAAGCCCCGGGCUCAACCUGGGAAUUGCAUUUAAAACUGUCCAGCUAGAGUCUUGUAGAGGGGGGUAGAAUUCCAGGUGUAGCGGUGAAAUGCGUAGAGAUCUGGAGGAAUACCGGUGGCGAAGGCGGCCCCCUGGACAAAGACUGACGCUCAGGUGCGAAAGCGUGGGGAGCAAACAGGAUUAGAAACCCUUGUAGUCC
This 273-nucleotide ribosomal RNA is filed under the name uncultured bacterium. RNAcentral's name for it is "partial 16S ribosomal RNA". It matches the Rfam family "Bacterial small subunit ribosomal RNA", at positions 524 to 796 of the family's 1533-position model. The record is from RNAcentral. RNAcentral also lists the same sequence under 1 other name.